CCUACGGGGGGCUGCAGUGGGGAAUAUUGGACAAUGGGGGCAACCCUGAUCCAGCCAUGCCGCGUGUGUGAAGAAGGCCCUCGGGUUGUAAAGCACUUUCAGUGAGGAAGAACGCCUGGUGGUUAAUACCCAUCAGGAAAGACAUCACUCACAGAAGAAGCACCGGCUAACUCCGUGCCAGCAGCCGCGGUAAUACGGAGGGUGUGAGCGUUAAUCGGAAUUACUGGGCGUAAAGCGCGCGUAGGUGGCUUGAUAAGCCGGUUGUGAAAGCCCCGGGCUCAACCUGGGAACGGCAUCCGGAACUGUCAAGCUAGAGUGCAGGAGAGGAAGGUAGAAUUCCCGGUGUAGCGGUGAAAUGCGUAGAGAUCGGGAGGAAUACCAGUGGCGAAGGCGGCCUUCUGGACUGACACUGACACUGAGGUGCGAAAGCGUGGGUAGCAAACAGGAUUAGAUACCCCAGUAGUC
This 465-nucleotide ribosomal RNA is filed under the name Vreelandella stevensii. RNAcentral's name for it is "partial 16S ribosomal RNA". It matches the Rfam family "Bacterial small subunit ribosomal RNA", at positions 338 to 795 of the family's 1533-position model. The record is from RNAcentral. Lineage: Bacteria; Pseudomonadati; Pseudomonadota; Gammaproteobacteria; Oceanospirillales; Halomonadaceae.